GAGGGACGGCCCACCCAACAGAAGCCACAACAGGUCCCCAAAGAAUUUCUGCAGGCUGGGACUCCUGAGUGAAAUGAAGAAGUGGGAUUCAACAGAGAGAAAUGUGAAGUCUGCCAGCUAGCCCUGAGAAGCAGGCAUGACAAGAGAGGAUGCCCGUGUUACAGAUGAGAAAAACAGAGGCCCUGGGAGGAAGCUUGCCUAAUGCCACUCAGGAGGUAGAGGCAAAGCUGGGAAAGGCCCUGGGUCCCCAGACUGCCCCUCUGGAACUCCACAUGCAGCCACCUGGCUGUCCUGCCCGGGAUGCCAUCCGCAGGCUAGGCUGGCGCUCAUGCCCAUGCCCUGCUGUCCACUGACACCCCGCAGAGCUUAACACCCCGCUGAGCCUGCCCUGCAGCCCUUGCCAAGUCUGUCCGAGUGGCCUCAGUCAUUGGCAAGUCACAUUGCUGACAUCGCAACUGCAUAAAAUUAAUUUAUUUAGUUAA
Molecule: long non-coding RNA, 482 nt
Filed under: Homo sapiens (human)
Lineage: Eukaryota; Metazoa; Chordata; Mammalia; Primates; Hominidae
Description: HSALNT0358365
Source: RNAcentral